This 729-nucleotide ribosomal RNA is filed under the name uncultured bacterium. Its description in RNAcentral is "bacterial SSU rRNA". It matches the Rfam family "Bacterial small subunit ribosomal RNA", at positions 28 to 776 of the family's 1533-position model. The record is from RNAcentral.
GAUGAACGCUGACAGAAUGCUUAACACAUGCAAGUCGACUUGAAGCAACUUCGGUUGUGGAAAGUGGCGGACGGGUGAGUAACGCGUAAAGAACUUGCCCUUCAGUCUGGGACAACCAUUGGAAACGAUGGCUAAUACCGGAUAUUAUGGAACUCUCGCAUGGGAGGAUCAUGAAAGCUAUAUGCGCUGAAGGAGAGCUUUGCGUUCCAUUAGCUAGUUGGUGAGGUAACGGCUCACCAAGGCGACGAUGGAUAGCCGGCCUGAGAGGGUGAUCGGCCACAAGGGGACUGAGACACGGCCCUUACUCCUACGGGAGGCAGCAGUGGGGAAUAUUGGACAAUGGACCAAAAGUCUGAUCCAGCAAUUCUGUGUGCACGAUGAAGGUUUUCGGAUCGUAAAGUGCUUUCAGUUGGGAAGAAGAAAGUGACGGUACCAACAGAAGAAGCGACGGCUAAAUACGUGCCAGCAGCCGCGGUAAUACGUAUGUCGCAAGCGUUAUCCGGAUUUAUUGGGCGUAAAGCGCGUCUAGGCGGGUUCAUAAGUCUGAUGUUAAAAUGCGGGGCUCAACUCCGUAUUGCGUUGGAAACUGUGAACCUAGAGUAUCAGAGAGGUGGGCGGAACUACAAGUGUAGAGGUGAAAUUCGUAGAUAUUUGUAGGAAUGCCGAUGGAGAAGUCAGCUCACUGGAUGAAUACUGCGCUAAAGCGCGAAAGCGUGGGUAGCAAACAGG